Molecule: ribosomal RNA, 492 nt
Filed under: uncultured bacterium
Lineage: Bacteria
Description: partial 16S ribosomal RNA
Rfam family: Bacterial small subunit ribosomal RNA
Source: RNAcentral
AGUGAACGCUGGCGGUAGGCCUAACACAUGCAAGUCGAACGGCAGCACAGUAAGAGCUUGCUCUUACGGGUGGCGAGUGGCGGACGGGUGAGGAAUACAUCGGAAUCUACUUUUUCGUGGGGGAUAACGUAGGGAAACUUACGCUAAUACCGCAUACGACCUACGGGUGAGAGCAGGGGAUCUUCGGACCUUGCGCGUUUGAAUGAGCCGAUGUCGGAUUAGCUAGUUGGCGGGGUAAAGGCCCACCAAGGCGACGAUCCGUAGCUGGUCUGAGAGGAUGAUCAGCCACACUGGAACUGAGACACGGUCCAGACUCCUACGGGAGGCAGCAGUGGGGAAUAUUGGACAAUGGGCGCAAGCCUGAUCCAGCCAUACCGCGUGGGUGAAGAAGGCCUUCGGGUUGUAAAGCCCUUUUGUUGGGAAAGAAAAGCAGCAGGUUAAUACCCCGCUGUUCUGACGGUACCCAAAGAAUAAGCACCGGCUAACUUCGUG